RNAcentral lists this ribosomal RNA (463 nucleotides) under uncultured bacterium. RNAcentral describes it as "partial 16S ribosomal RNA". It matches the Rfam family "Bacterial small subunit ribosomal RNA", at positions 28 to 507 of the family's 1533-position model. The record is from RNAcentral.
GACGAACGCUGGCGGCGUGCUUAACACAUGCAAGUCGAACGGAAAGGCCUUUUCGGAGGUACUCGAGUGGCGAACGGGUGAGUAACACGUGGGUGAUCUGCCCUGCACUCUGGGAUAAGCCUGGGAAACUGGGUCUAAUACCGGAUAGGACCGCACUUUAGUGUGUGUGGUGGAAAGUUUUUUCGGCGUAGGAUGAGCCCGCGGCCUAUCAGCUUGUUGGUGGGGUAAUGGCCUACCAAGGCGGCGACGGGUAGCCGGACUGAGAGGUUGGUCGGCCACAUUGGGACUGAGAUACGGCCCAGACUCCUACGGGAGGCAGCAGUGGGGAAGAUUGCACAAUGGGCGCAAGCCUGAUGCAGCGACGCCGCGUGGGGGAUGACGGCCUUCGGGUUGUAAACUCCUUUCGCCAGGGACGAAGCGUUUUGUGACGGUACCUGGAGAAGAAGCACCGGCUAACUACGUG